Molecule: non-coding RNA, 2464 nt
Organism: Maylandia zebra (zebra mbuna)
Lineage: Eukaryota; Metazoa; Chordata; Actinopteri; Cichliformes; Cichlidae
Source: RefSeq, a predicted model, not a curated record
UUUUUUUUUCAAGAAUGUCUCAUGACAGUGAUGUAAGCGAGUGCGACGUUCGUGGCAACAGCUGUGUAACUCCCAAAAUGACAACACAGGCACAGCUUCUUCAAGACGGGCGCUUCGCUGCAUUUAUUGAACACCGUGAAAACUAUAAACAUAAAACUCAAAGGCUUUAAGUGCUUCAGUCUAUCAGAAAUAACACUUGUGCUUUAACAACAAAAACUUACCUCGUGGCCGCCUGCCACUUCGGAGGUCCUAGAAGAAUACCUUUACAGUCUUGCGGAUUCUAAAUUAAAACAUAAAAUAAUUAGAACACCGUACAUUACAAAUUUUCACAAUAUUACAAUACAGUUAUAGCAAAUGACAAAUACCUUGUACAGCUGGUAGACUAAACAGGGCUUUGCCAAUAGCUCGCUGAACUCCUUAGUGUGAUUAUUAAACGUGGGCUCACAGCCUAUAUUAUCAAACCUCGCAAUAAUAGCGGUGUAACAAAACUUGUUCUUUGUGACAAGAUAAACACACCUUUACAAUAUUGACCACAGAAAUGUACAAGCAAGAACAUUUUAACUGCUGGAACCAUCUAUUAAACUUCUUUAUGCAUAAGCCAUUUCUGUGACACUUACACUCCCACCAAAAUCACUCAUUGUUUGCAAUGUGACUUUCUAAUGUGUCAACAUUAAAGUCUGGUUCACUUUCCAUGUCAGUCUCCAGUAAAGUCACUACCUUGUGAAUAGGUCUUUCCAGAUAUAUCAGCCUUGUCAGUGCUUUUCCCCUGUCAAAGGUAGUUUCGCUGGUCUUGAGCUUCACCUUUCGAACCUUGCCAUCUGGGCUCUCUAUAGCCUCUACUAUUAGAGCAAGUUUCCAUUUACAUCUUGGAGCAUUAUCAUCCUGCAGUAUCACAAUGUCAUUUACUCGCAGGUUUCGUGAGACGUUCUGCCAUUUCCUUCGCCGCUGGAAAUUUAACAGAUACUCUCGCCUCCACCUUUGCCAAAACUCAUUUGCUAGAAAUUGUACUCUCUUCUAUCUUUUGUUCAAGUACAAAUCCUCUCUGCAAAACUCUCCUGGAGGUGGAACAAUAACUGAAGAUUUCAUCGUUAAUAUGUGAUUGGGAGUUAAUGGCUCUGGUCCCAAGGGAUUGUUGAGAUACUCAACAAGGUCUGCUGUUAAUGAUGGCCAUUGUCUCGUAAAGCAGUGUUCUUAGACUAGCUGUAUCGAGUCUGUUUCAGAACUUGUCCAGCAUCGCUGUCAGUACACUUCGUACUGUUUGAAUUUGAUGUUCCCAGAUGCCCCCCAUGUGGCUAGCUGCCGGAACGUUCACCACAAAUUCACAACCAAUAGCUCUUUGUGGUUCUUGAUCCAUAUCCUUCAUUAGCUCCAAAAAUUCUCUUUUGGCGCCCAUAAAGUUUGUCCCUUGGUCAUGUGGCAGGAUGAAUGUUAUUCCUUGGUUCAACCCACUUUCAGCCUGGCGCAUUAGGGGGCGCUAGUAUAAAUAGUGGCCAUUUGAGCAUUCCUGGAUCGCUUACCUGUGAUCUCCUUUUUGGUCACCUGACUUCCCUUUGGUGUUGCAGAGAUCAUUCUGAAGCCUCCAUCGCGACUGGUCAUAGCUGUAGAAGCCUCCUAUGAGCCACUCUGCUCAUGUUUCAUGACGCGGUUUACUUGGUACGUAAUUCAAUUUUGUUACGAUCUCUGCCUUUUAUUGUUCUUUUAUAGUAAUUACUUAUUAUGCUUUGCAGGAAGUGUGGGCCUUAGUUUUACGCAACGCUACGCUAGCUGAAGUGCUGCUGCUUUGCUUUGCUUUGCUUUUACCGUCUGUUCCCGUUGCGAGGUUUCUCUUCCUGCUGCUGCCAGCUUUUUAAAGUGGACGUCGGCGUGGACAGCGGCCAUAUGCAUGCCGGUUAUGGGAAUCAGCUGGUGUACAUAUUAAUUGACCGGAUGAUUAACUUAUAGUUGGGCAGGCGGCAAGUUGGAGCAACACGGCGAUUCCAUUUGCUCCAGAUUUUAACGUUUUAUCCAGAUUGUACGUUGUUUUUCUGUUGUUUUGAUUUGUAGUUUGGAUUUUUGUUACGCCACUGGUGGGAGGCCCUUUUUCUAGCUGAAGAUCACCAGUGUGGUCCUGCAGUUGGGUUAUCCCCCGGUGCUACAUUAGUUUUGUUGUAAUAUAUUAAAAUUUUCUUUGUUCCUUUAUUCAGAUGCGGAGUGCCGACAUGGAGUAGACUAGGGUGCCUUGGUGGUGGGAUCCUUUGAGUGUACACACCUGCCUCGUUUAGUUCAUUAGUGUGAGCGUGUGAUUUUGUGUUGCACUUGUAUCUUGGUGUGUUUCUUUUUUUGAGUUUGUGCGUGGCAUCCCUGCCCCUCCACUGGUAAGCCUCAGCUCUGAAUACCUUUUUAAGCAUAUUUGUACAUGGAUAUUUAUGAUUGUGCUUUUAUAUGGUGUUUUAAAUGAUUAUUAAUAAAUUGUCAACUUGUUUUA